AUACACAUACACACUUCACAAGAUCUCACAGCUAGAUUCGAAUGAGUUUGCAAGUGAUGCUGAUGAAGAGGGCCAGUCAGGGGUCCAGGAACAUAAAUAGCCUCUCCUUCACUCUUGCCUCUGAAGAAGACUCACACAUCAUCCCUGAAUCUUCAGCAUUAAUGAAGUUCAUUGUGUUUCUGAAUGGACUCCUGCUGCUCUUUCUGCUUCAGCGCUGGACAGAAAGUGUGGAAGAACAGAAGAUGAACCUUACAAUUCUUGCCUGAAUAAUAGACUUCUGUGAGUAUAGUGCAUAAAAUCAAGAUUUUAAAAAGAACUUUUUACUAUAUGAUAUAGCACAAAGAGGAAGUAGAGAAAUUAAUGUCAUUAAUAAACCGUGUUUGGUCUGCUGGUGAUCA
Long non-coding RNA from Cyprinus carpio (common carp), 398 nucleotides. Lineage: Eukaryota; Metazoa; Chordata; Actinopteri; Cypriniformes; Cyprinidae. The record is from Ensembl.